AACGAACGCUGGCGGCGCGUCUUAAGCAUGCAAGUCGAGCGGGAUUGGGGAGCUUGCUCCCCAUGAGAGCGGCGGACUGGCGAGGAGCGCGUGGGCGACGCGCCCCCCGGACGGGAACAGCCCGUGGAAACACGGGGUAAUGCCGGAUGGCAUGCAGGGCUUGGAGGCCCUGCAUCAAAGGGGCUUCGGCCCCGCCGGGGGAGCGGCCCGCGUCCCAUCAGCUUGUUGGCGGAGCAAAAGCCCACCAAGGCGACGACGGGUGUCCGGCCUGAGAGGGCGACCGGACGCAUUGGGACUGAGAUACGGCCCAGACUCC
RNAcentral lists this ribosomal RNA (316 nucleotides) under uncultured Treponema sp. RNAcentral describes it as "bacterial SSU rRNA". It matches the Rfam family "Bacterial small subunit ribosomal RNA", at positions 28 to 339 of the family's 1533-position model. The record is from RNAcentral. Lineage: Bacteria; Pseudomonadati; Spirochaetota; Spirochaetia; Treponematales; Treponemataceae.